CAGUCGCCGCGGGAAUACGUAGGUGGCAAGCGUUGUCCGGAAUUAUUGGGCGUAAAGGGCUCGCAGGCGGUUUCUUAAGUCUGAUGUGAAAGCCCCCGGCUCAACCGGGGAGGGUCAUUGGAAACCGGGAAACCUGAGUGCAGAAGAGGAGAGUGGAAUUCCACGUGUAGCGGUGAAAUGCGUAGAGAUGUGGAGGAACACCAGUGGCGAAGGCGACUCUCUGGUCUGUAACUGACGCUGAGGAGCGAAAGCGUGGGGAGCGAACAGGAUUAGAUACCCCUGUAGUCCCUGUCUCUUAUAC
This 301-nucleotide ribosomal RNA is filed under the name uncultured bacterium. Its description in RNAcentral is "partial 16S ribosomal RNA". It matches the Rfam family "Bacterial small subunit ribosomal RNA", at positions 509 to 807 of the family's 1533-position model. The record is from RNAcentral.